This 931-nucleotide ribosomal RNA is filed under the name uncultured bacterium. RNAcentral describes it as "bacterial SSU rRNA". It matches the Rfam family "Bacterial small subunit ribosomal RNA", at positions 60 to 993 of the family's 1533-position model. The record is from RNAcentral.
AGCCGGACGACAAGUUGAGUAGCAAUACUUGACCUAGAGUGGCGUAAGGGUGCGUAACACGUAUGCAAUCUGCCCACAGCCGGGGUAUAGCCCUCCGAAAGGAGGAUUAACACCCCAUAGAAAAAUGGAAUGGCAUCAUUUUAUUUUUAAACUACGGGGCUGUGGAUGAGCAUGCGCUUGAUUAGCUAGUUGGCGGGGUAAUGGCCCACCAAGGCGAUGAUCAAUAGGGGACCUGAGAGGGUGAUCCCCCACACUGGCACUGAGAUACGGGCCAGACUCCUACGGGGGGCAGCAGUAGGGAAUAUUGGACAAUGGGUGAGAGCCUGAUCCAGCCAUGCCGCGUGCAGGAAGAAGGCCUUCUGGGUUGUAAACUGCUUUUGCCGGGGGAUAAAAGAUCCCUGCGGGGAGAAUUGAAGGUACCCGGUGAAUAAGCCACGGCUAACUACGUGCCAGCAGCCGCGGUAAUACGUAGGUGGCAAGCGUUGUCCGGAUUUAUUGGGUUUAAAGGGUGCGUAGGCGGUUCUUUAAGUCAGUGGUGAAAUACAGCCGCUUAACGGUUGAGGUGCCAUUGAUACUGAAGAACUUGAGUACAGUCGAGGUAGGCGGAAUUGACGGUGUAGCGGUGAAAUGCUUAGAUAUCGUCAAGAACACCGAUAGCGAAGGCAGCUUACUAGGCUGUAACUGACGCUGANGCACGAAGGUGCGGGGAUCAAACAGGAUUAGAUACCCUGNUAGUCCGCACAGUAAACGAUGGUCACUCGGUGUUGGCGAUACACAGCCAGCGCCUUANCGAAAGCGUUAAGUGACCCACCUGGGGAGUACGCCCGCAAGGGUGAAACUCAAAGGAAUUGACGGGGGUCCGCANAGCGGUGGAGCAUGUGGUUUAAUUCGAUGGUACGCGAGGAACCUUACCUGNCUAGAAUGCCCUUGA